Molecule: ribosomal RNA, 579 nt
Filed under: Naganishia albida
Lineage: Eukaryota; Fungi; Basidiomycota; Tremellomycetes; Filobasidiales; Filobasidiaceae
Description: partial large subunit ribosomal RNA
Rfam family: Eukaryotic large subunit ribosomal RNA
Source: RNAcentral
AUAUCAAUAAGCGGAGGAAAAGAAACUAACAAGGAUUCCCCUAGUAACGGCGAGUGAAGCGGGAAGAGCUCAAAUUUGAAAUCUGGUAGCCUUCGGUUGCCCGAGUUGUAAUCUAGAGAAGUGUUUUCCGUGCCGGCCCAUGUACAAGUCCCUUGGAACAGGGCGUCAUAGAGGGUGAGAAUCCCGUCCUUGACAUGGACCCCCGGUGCUUUGUGAUACACUUUCAACGAGUCGAGUUGUUUGGGAAUGCAGCUCAAAAUGGGUGGUGAAUUCCAUCUAAAGCUAAAUAUUGGCGAGAGACCGAUAGCGAACAAGUACCGUGAGGGAAAGAUGAAAAGCACUUUGGAAAGAGAGUUAAACAGUACGUGAAAUUGUUGAAAGGGAAACGAUUGAAGUCAGUCAUGCUCUUGGGACUUACCUCCCUUGAGUGGGGUCAACAUCAGUUUUGAUCGAUGGAUAAAGGCACGGGGAAGGUAGCACUCUCGGGUGAACUUAUAGCCUCGCGUCAUAUACAUUGAUUGGGACUGAGGAACGCAGCAUGCCUUAUGGCCGGGAUUCGUCCACGUACAUGCUAGGAGU